Molecule: ribosomal RNA, 652 nt
Filed under: uncultured archaeon
Lineage: Archaea
Description: bacterial SSU rRNA
Rfam family: Archaeal small subunit ribosomal RNA
Source: RNAcentral
GAGGUACUGGAAGGUCCUCAGGCCGAAAGGGGCUCUGCCCGCCCGAGGAUGGGCCGGCGGCCGAUUAGGUAGUUGGUGGGGUAACGGCCCACCAAGCCGAAGAUCGGUACGGGCCAUGAGAGUGGGAGCCCGGAGAUGGACACUGAGACACGGGUCCAGGCCCUACGGGGCGCAGCAGGCGCGAAACCUCCGCAAUGCGGGCAACCGCGACGGGGGGACCCCCAGUGCCGUGGCAACGCCACGGCUUUUCCGGAGUGUAAAAAGCUCCGGGAAUAAGGGCUGGGCAAGGCCGGUGGCAGCCGCCGCGGUAAUACCGGCGGCCCGAGUGGUGGCCGCUAUUAUUGGGCCUAAAGCGUCCGUAGCCGGGCCCGUAAGUCCCUGGCGAAAUCCCACGGCUCAACCGUGGGGCUUGCUGGGGAUACUGCGGGCCUUGGGACCGGGAGAGGCCGGGGGUACCCCUGGGGUAGGGGUGAAAUCCUAUAAUCCCAGGGGGACCGCCAGUGGCGAAGGCGCCCGGCUGGAACGGGUCCGACGGUGAGGGACGAAGGCCAGGGGAGCGAACCGGAUUAGAUACCCGGGUAGUCCUGGCUGUAAAGGAUGCGGGCUAGGUGUCGGGCGAGCUUCGAGCUCGCCCGGUGCCGAAGGGAAGCCG